AAGCAUCCUUUGCAUAUCACUUGUCCAAUACAGGAGCAUUUGAGUCUAAUAGUACAUAUUCGAACCAUGAUUUGGUAGCUUUGAAGUGAAAUGAUGAAAUGAAAUGCUCAUCCAUUUGCCUCCUGAAAUGUAGUUGUUCGAGCUGUCAUAAUCGAAUAGAUAAUAGUUGAUCUGUAUUUGUUUAAGUUUA
Long non-coding RNA from Nicotiana attenuata, 190 nucleotides. RefSeq lists it as uncharacterized. The transcript has 2 exons. The record is from RefSeq and is a predicted model, not a curated record. NCBI's taxonomy places the organism in Eukaryota, Viridiplantae, Streptophyta, Magnoliopsida, Solanales, Solanaceae.